CACGGUCAAAGUGUCACGGUACACAGUGUUGAAUGACGACGGUGGGCUGUACGAGGUGCUAGACGACUUGAUCGUAAGUGAACAGCAUCGAUUACUCGUGAGAAUAGCGUCAGACUACGAGGUCGACGAGAAAUUCACGCGUCGCGCCGACGGUACCAACAUGUUGCUGAAUUCCAAUGGAGAAUUGAUCGUCAGAUACCCAGACGGUACGCGUAUCACGAUUGGCUACACUAUAGAAAAGGAGCCAGUGAUGUGUGACUGGACCGAGG
This 269-nucleotide unclassified non-coding RNA is filed under the name Bombus terrestris (buff-tailed bumblebee). RNAcentral's name for it is "misc RNA ENSBTSG00005025884.1". Lineage: Eukaryota; Metazoa; Arthropoda; Insecta; Hymenoptera; Apidae. The record is from RNAcentral.